UGCAAGUCGAGCGGGGUCCAUCCUGAUCGCAAGACAGGGGAAGACCUAGCGGCGAACGGGUGAGUAACACGUGAGCAACCUGCCCCGAAGACCGGGAUAACACCGGGAAACCGGUGCUAAUACCGGAUACCCUCAACGGACCGCAUGAUCCGAUGAGGAAAUGGAUUCCGCUUCGGGAGGGGCUCGCGGCCUAUCAGCUUGUUGGUGGGGUAACGGCCUACCAAGGCUCCGACGGGUAGCUGGUCUGAGAGGACGACCAGCCACACUGGGACUGAGACACGGCCCAGACUCCUACGGGAGGCAGCAGUGGGGAAUCUUGCGCAAUGGGCGAAAGCCUGACGCAGCAACGCCGCGUGGGGGACGAAGGCCUUCGGGUUGUAAACCCCUUUCAGCAGGGACGAACAUGACGGUACCUGCAGAAGAAGCCCCGGCCAACUACGUGCCAGCAGCCGCGGUAAUACGUAGGGGGCGAGCGUUGUCCGGAUUUAUUGGGCGUAAAGAGCUCGUAGGCGGUUUGGCAAGUCGGGUGUGAAAACUCCGGGCUCAACUCGGAGACGCCACUCGAUACUGCUAUGACUCGAGUCCGGUAGGGGAGUGCGGAAUUCCUGGUGUAGCGGUGAAAUGCGCAGAUAUCAGGAGGAACACCGGUGGCGAAGGCGGCACUCUGGGCCGGUACUGACGCUGAGGAGCGAAAGCGUGGGGAGCGAACAGGAUUAGAUACCCUGGUAGUCCACGCCGUAAACGUUGGGCACUAGGUGUGGGGCUCGAUCGACGGGCUCCGUGCCGUAGCUAACGCAUUAAGUGCCCCGCCUGGGAAGUACGGCCGCAAGGCUAAAACUCAAAGGAAUUGACGGGGGCCC
RNAcentral lists this ribosomal RNA (860 nucleotides) under uncultured soil bacterium. RNAcentral's name for it is "bacterial SSU rRNA". It matches the Rfam family "Bacterial small subunit ribosomal RNA", at positions 56 to 922 of the family's 1533-position model. The record is from RNAcentral.